RNAcentral lists this ribosomal RNA (253 nucleotides) under uncultured bacterium. Its description in RNAcentral is "partial 16S ribosomal RNA". It matches the Rfam family "Bacterial small subunit ribosomal RNA", at positions 524 to 776 of the family's 1533-position model. The record is from RNAcentral.
UACGGAGGGUCCGAGCGUUAUCCGGAAUCAUUGGGUUUAAAGGGUCCGCAGGCGGUCAAUUAAGUCAGAGGUGAAAUCCCAUAGCUUAACUAUGGAACUGCCUUUGAUACUGGUUGACUUGAGUCAUAUGGAAGUAGAUAGAAUGUGUAGUGUAGCGGUGAAAUGCAUAGAUAUUACACAGAAUACCGAUUGCGAAGGCAGUCUACUACGUAUGUACUGACGCUGAGGGACGAAAGCGUGGGGAGCGAACAGG